CUAAUACAUGCAAGUCGAACGAACCGCGACUNAGUGCUUGCACUUGGUCAAGGUGAGUGGCGAACGGGUGAGUAACACGUGGGUAACCUACCUCAUAGUGGGGGAUAACAGUCGGAAACGACUGCUAAUACCGCAUAGGACAUAGGAUCACAUGAUCCAGUGAGGAAAGGUGGCGCAAGCUAUCGCUAAGAGAUGGACCCGCGGUGCAUUAGCUAGUUGGUAGGGUAAAGGCCUACCAAGGCGAUGAUGCAUAGCCGACCUGAGAGGGUGAUCGGCCACAUUGGGACUGAGACACGGCCCAAACUCCUACGGGAGGCAGCAGUAGGGAAUCUUCCGCAAUGGACGCAAGUCUGACGGAGCAACGCCGCGUGAGUGAAGAAGGUCUUCGGAUCGUAAAGCUCUGUUGUUAGAGAAGAACAGCGCAUAGAGUAACUGUUAUGCGUGUG
This 446-nucleotide ribosomal RNA is filed under the name Abiotrophia defectiva. RNAcentral's name for it is "bacterial SSU rRNA". It matches the Rfam family "Bacterial small subunit ribosomal RNA", at positions 48 to 471 of the family's 1533-position model. Lineage: Bacteria; Bacillati; Bacillota; Bacilli; Lactobacillales; Aerococcaceae. The record is from RNAcentral.